AGGAGCUUGCUCCUCUGACGUUAGCGGCGGACGGGUGAGUAACACGUGGAUAACCUACCUAUAAGACUGGGAUAACUUCGGGAAACCGGAGCUAAUACCGGAUAAUAUAUUGAACCGCAUGGUUCAAUAGUGAAAGACGGUUUUGCUGUCACUUAUAGAUGGAUCCGCGCCGCAUUAGCUAGUUGGUAAGGUAACGGCUUACCAAGGCAACGAUGCGUAGCCGACCUGAGAGGGUGAUCGGCCACACUGGAACUGAGACACGGUCCAGACUCCUACGGGAGGCAGCAGUAGGGAAUCUUCCGCAAUGGGCGAAAGCCUGACGGAGCAACGCCGCGUGAGUGAUGAAGGUCUUCGGAUCGUAAAACUCUGUUAUUAGGGAAGAACAAAUGUGUAAGUAACUAUGCACGUCUUGACGGUACCUAAUCAGAAAGCCACGGCUAACUAC
This 445-nucleotide ribosomal RNA is filed under the name uncultured Staphylococcus sp. RNAcentral's name for it is "bacterial SSU rRNA". It matches the Rfam family "Bacterial small subunit ribosomal RNA", at positions 74 to 504 of the family's 1533-position model. The record is from RNAcentral. Lineage: Bacteria; Bacillati; Bacillota; Bacilli; Caryophanales; Staphylococcaceae.